Molecule: ribosomal RNA, 548 nt
Filed under: uncultured Glomus
Lineage: Eukaryota; Fungi; Glomeromycota; Glomeromycetes; Glomerales; Glomeraceae
Description: SSU rRNA
Rfam family: Eukaryotic small subunit ribosomal RNA
Source: RNAcentral
UUGGAGGGCAAGUCUGGUGCCAGCAGCCGCGGUAAUUCCAGCUCCAAUAGCGUAUAUUAAAGUUGCUGCAGUUAAAAAGCUCGUAGUUGAAUUUCGGGACCAUCAUGUCGGUCGUGCCUCGGUACGUACUGGUAUUGUUGGUUUCUCCCUUCUGACGAACCAUGAUGUCAUUUAUUUGGUGUUGUGGGGAAUCAGGACUGUUACUUUGAAAAAAUUAGAGUGUUUAAAGCAGGCUCACGCUUGAAUACAUUAGCAUGGAAUAAUGAAAUAGGACGUUUGAUUCUAUUUUGUUGGUUUCUAGGAUCGACGUAAUGAUUAAUAGGGAUAGUUGGGGGCAUUAGUAUUCAAUUGUCAGAGGUGAAAUUCUUGGAUUUAUUGAAGACUAACUACUGCGAAAGCAUUUGCCAAGGAUGUUUUCAUUAAUCAAGAACGAAAGUUAGGGGAUCGAAGACGAUCAGAUACCGUCGUAGCCUUAACCAUAAACUAUGCCGACUAGGGAUCGGAUGAUGUUAAUUUUUUAAUGACUCAUUCGGCGCCUUACGGGAAAC